Molecule: long non-coding RNA, 2938 nt
Filed under: Mytilus galloprovincialis (Mediterranean mussel)
Lineage: Eukaryota; Metazoa; Mollusca; Bivalvia; Mytilida; Mytilidae
Source: RNAcentral
CACAUGCAGAUUCAAUGUGUCUAGAUAUAGAUGUAAGUAUAUAUAACUUUUUGAGUGUACAAAUAAACUCAUCAUAGAUACCAGGACUAAAUUGUGUAUAUACGCCAGACGCGCGCUUUGUCUACAAAAGACUUAUCAGUGACGCUCGAAUCCAAAAAAGUUGAAAAGAUCAAAUAAAGUAUGAAGUUGAAGAGCAUUGAGGACCGAAAUUCCUAAAAGUUUUGCCAAAUACAGCUAAGAUAAUCUAUGCCUGAGGUAGAAAAGCCUUAGUAUUUGAAAAAUUUCAAAUUUUAUAAACAGGUAAUGUAUUGCUUCGAUUGAAACAGGGUUAAGUGCCUUUUUUAUCUUCUUGUUUUUCGUUCUUUCGAUUCUUUUACAUGUGUAUAUAUGCAUCCUUUUUAUUCCAAUUAAAUGGUUGAGAAUUUGAAAGAGGAAGUGACUGAAGGAGGUUAAAAAAAGUAUUUCAUCCUGACACAUUUUUUUCUGUUCCUUUCACGACAUGCUAUUCAGGCACCUCGUCAGUGAAUUCAUGUCUUUGUAGAGUUGUCUCAUUGGUACUCAUACCAAAUCUUCUUAUGUCUGCUUUGUUGAAUUAGAUUUUAAAUCGCAUCCCAAUACCUAUUUUGUGAUACUUCACAACUUUAUGAACUAGCUGUCCUGUAAUCUUGUGUAUUGUUACUAUAUAAAUCAAACUUUAACAUAUUUUUUUGUUUUUGUUUUGUUUUUAUACAGUUGCAUUUGGGUUACUGUCGUAUUAACACUGUCUCCCCUUGUCUUUAAAUUCAUGUAUAGCCAUAUUUCAGAGGUACACGGUUGAGUGUACUAUAAACUAUACUGUGUUGACAUGCAUUAUUAUUGAUACGGUCAUUAUUAUAAAUCAACUUUUUAGGCCGUUAGUUUUUGUCGUUUGAAUUGUUUUUCAUUGACAUGUCGGGGCUUUUUAUAGCUGACUAUGCGGUAUGGGCUUUGCUCAAUAUUGGAGGCCGUACGGUUACCUAUAGCAGAGACGUAAAUAUGUCUCUGCCUAGAGUUGUUAAUUUAUGUGUCGUGUGGAGAGUUGUCUCAUUGGCAAUCAUACCACUUCUUCUCUUUUUUUUUUAUUUUUACAAAACUUUGAAUAUUUUGAAAACACUAAGGAUGUUCUACCCAAGAAAUAGAUUAUACCUAAUUAGAUGUAUCCGUCAAAAUCUUUCUGAAUAUUGGCUUUCCAAUUCCCUUAAAAUUCUUAGCCCUAUUUUGGCAUUAUAAUAAUUUUUAAGAUUUGAUAGUCUGAUCUUUUGUCCAAAACAACUCAUCCUUCAAAUACUACCAAAAUCUUUCUGAAUAUUGGCUUUCCAAUAAACUUACCCUAUAUUAUAUAACUUUUACACUGAUGGGCCUUUUGUAGACGAAACACUCAUCUGGCAUACAACAGUUUAAUCCUGGUAUCUAGGAUGAGUUUAUUCACCUUGUAAGGCAAAAACUACAACCAGCACGUAUAAAUGUUUUACUAAAUGUAAUUCUAGUUAUGACAUAAAAAGAAACCAUUGAAAGCAGGGCGUUUAUACUUUGAGUGGUAAUAUAAUAUUUAAUAAGCUAAAUAUAUAUACUAAAAUUCUUUUUAAUCUUUAUUGAAUGCAUAAAACUAAGCUUACAUUCACGUCAUCUGGUCUCUGGUGGAUAGUUGUAUCAUUGGCAAUCAUACCACAUAUAGCCUUUAUUUAUAUUGUUGUAAAGAUAGUACAUUUUAAAACGUGAUUUACAAAAAAUAAACUUAUCGUAUCUGAUAGAUUUAUUAUAUGAUGCCUUAUAGCAUCUAAAUAUAAGGUCUGAAAUUUUUGUAAUUUGAGUAAACUGAGAUGUAGAAAAGUAAACUUUUUGUUAUUGCUUGCACUCUGAAAAAGAAAUCACCAACAGCUGCAUGUGCUAUGAGAAAAGCAGCAUUACAAUUAAAUCUGAAUAAUUGAAUCAUUUAUUAAUUGUUUUCUUAAUAUUACUACAACUAUAUCCAUUUGUCUUCAUUCAGUGUUUACAAACUAACACUAAUACAAAAGGAGCAUAGUAACUGUUUGCAUUAUUAUUUAAAAAAAACUAAAUCUUAUUUCAUUAUGUAUGAUUUUUUCUUUCGUUGUUGAAGUUAUCCAAAUAAUUAUAUAUAUGGAGAGCCAUGAUUGACUCUCAAAUCAAAUAAUGAUGUUAAAAUUAUAGCGAGUCAUUAAUGUACUCAUAUAUAUAUAUAUAUAUAUAUUGGUUUAUACUUUUAUUAUUAUUUAUUCAAUUAUCAGUUAUUGUUAUCUAAAUUCAAAUAUACCUAUAGAUUUUUUAUUAUACUUAGUGUCACUUUUACCGUCUUUAUUGUUCGCAGAUAUUUAUGUAGGGAUUGAACAAGUUAGAUUUUUCAAACAACCAUGUGAAGGCAAUUUAUGAUCGUAUAUACAUAAUGAAUUCAGUGAUAUUAUAAAACAAUUCGGUAUGAUAGCGAGAAUUACUGCCCUACAAGAUGUAUUUUGUAACUAGUAAAGACAAUAAAACGGCUUAUUUUGUGAUCAAAAAUAUAUUUCCACAUACUUGUCUUCAAUUCCAGCAGCCCAGGAAGAAGACUAUUGCAAUCUUAGUCAGACAAAACAAACAAAAUGUGUAUGAUUUGUGCUUGUUUCUUUUUAGUGUGUUAGGUAUAGGUAGGAAUGAGCUUUUUCAUUAUGCUGAAUCUUAUUUUACCUUUAGUACAUGUGAGGAGCAGCGAAUUUGUUACAAUUGAGUAUAUGCCAAUACUGCCGAUAAAAACCUCAGAGCUCUCAUUUCAAGACAUAUAGAACGAAAGGUAGAAAGGGAAGCCCAAAGAAUGGGGCUUGAACCAGUACUAUUUCCUAUCACUUAACGAAUCACACCACACAAAGUUAAGUUGAUCUGCAUAUGUAUGUUGUUGUGAUUGUUGCUAUAGAAACUCGUCGAUGGAAGC